GCGGAAGUGGUGGAAUUGGUAGACACGCUGGAUGGCGUGAGAGUUCAAGUCUCUCCUUCCGCACCA
Molecule: transfer RNA, 66 nt
Filed under: Alteromonas mediterranea MED64
Lineage: Bacteria; Pseudomonadati; Pseudomonadota; Gammaproteobacteria; Alteromonadales; Alteromonadaceae
Description: tRNA-Und (NNN) (tRNA-Und-NNN-3-1)
Rfam family: tRNA
About the family: Transfer RNA (tRNA) molecules are approximately 80 nucleotides in length. Their secondary structure includes four short double-helical elements and three loops (D, anti-codon, and T loops). Further hydrogen bonds mediate the characteristic L-shaped molecular structure. tRNAs have two regions of fundamental functional importance: the anti-codon, which is responsible for specific mRNA codon recognition, and the 3' end, to which the tRNAs corresponding amino acid is attached (by aminoacyl-tRNA synthetases). tRNAs cope with the degeneracy of the genetic code in two manners: having more than one tRNA (with a specific anti-codon) for a particular amino acid; and 'wobble' base-pairing, i.e. permitting non-standard base-pairing at the 3rd anti-codon position.
Source: RNAcentral